CCAUCAGGAUACCUCAUGGCC
RNAcentral lists this non-coding RNA (21 nucleotides) under Arabidopsis thaliana (thale cress). The record is from RNAcentral. Lineage: Eukaryota; Viridiplantae; Streptophyta; Magnoliopsida; Brassicales; Brassicaceae.